GGGGGCGGGGUCGCUUCCUCGCGACGCCCCCGCGCUAGCUCUCGCUGCCACCUGCCCGAGCGCCGCCCAGUCCCGGCCCGUCCGAGUCCAGUCCAAAGCGUCUCCCACCUUGGAAGCUAGAAGCCCUCUGUCCCGCGACCUGGUUCUCGCGUCCUGGCUGCCGUUGCCAAGGCGACGGGAGCGCCCGCCGAUUGGUCCGAUCCUCCGGCGAGGGGGAGCGGCCUGACGCGGGCGGGCCAGGAUUGGUGGGUCCCGGCGAGGUCCCGAGCGGGAAGCGCCGCCCCCAACCGCCUCCCCACGAGGAGGUCCAACGUCUGAGCGACAUAAACGCCGACAGAGACACCAACAGAAGCAGCGGGAGCCGGCGGCGGAGCUUGUGAGUCUGGGUGGGGCGGCGCGGAAGCCGGACUAACGGGGCAGCCCCUCCUCUGCGCGUCUGUAAAUUAGGGAAAUGGGCAGCCCAGCCCCAGGACUGGCUGAUUAUUGAUGAGGGAUGCACGGUGCCCUUCGGCGGAGAGCCUCUGACGGGGUGAUCUCAUCGGCCCUGCAUUUCAGCCGAACUGGACCCAAAUUCGAUAUUCCCUCUCCCACCUCCGGGUCAAUAGGAGAAGGCCUAUUGUCUGAACACUCUGGAGAGGUCAUGUUUCAGCCCCUCAUUUUACAGAUAAAGGAACCAAGACUCCCACAGAUUGAAUGAUUCCCCAUGAGCAUCAAACUCAAGCCAACAUUGGAUUCCAAAGGUCUAGACGUUCCCACUCUACCAGAAACUGGAACAGGCGUGACCCUGAAGCACAGAGGCCAGCUAGGAAACUGCCUCCAGGACUAUGAUUUCAUUGGCAACGGGAACUCUCAAGAUACCGGACAGCUCUCUCGCAGGAGGCACCUGCACUUGUCCACAUCACCGAGCGUGGGUGUGUCACAGCAAAGAUGGCAGCAUUCCCCAGCCCUUCCUCCUCCCAAGCGUGUGGGAGAUGAAACAUCUAUCACCUGAUGGCCUUGGAUUCGUUGGAGUGGGAGACCUCGGAGCCCUCAGGAAUUGGAUCCCAGAUGCCAGAUUGCCAGAUUUUGACAACCCUUCUAAACCUGACGACAUUGACUGAUCUGGUCACAAAUAGGAGUGGUUUGCAGACUUCAAAGUCUAACUUAACUACUCUUUCCCAUUCAAGCCUAAGUUUCUCCUCUUUCCCAAUGGUCACUAAUGAUGCCACUGGAUAAUUCAACGUUAUUCCUCGUUGGUACUGUUGGGACUUCUCCUUCUUGAAACUUCAGGAAGAAAAAUCACUCUGAGCUAGAGACCCACCGGAUUGACCCUGGCUCCUGCCCUUGCCCUUUGUGAGAGGCUGAAAAUUUCCAAAGGACUUCCAUUUCCCAAUUCCUCCUGCCCUGGCUUUAUAUGUAGACCAAGAUCUGCAGCUGGAAUCGAAUCCAAUUCAAUUCAAUUCAAUUCAAUUCAAUUCAACAAGCAUUUAUUAUGUGCCUGCUAGGUACCAGGUACUCCACUUGACACUGAGGGUACAGAGACAAAAAACAAAAUCGUCCCUGCCUUCGAUGAACUUUAAUCCUCAUUCUUCGAGAUACCCUGAAUCUAUAAGCCUCCAAAGGAAGAGGCUGGCCCUGUAGCUAAACAGUUUCUUCUUUCUCCCCCUCCUCCUGUUCUCCAUUUUUUCUCCUCCCUAUAGUUCAGAAGGUGGCACAGAGCUUCUCUACCCUCACCCCCCGAGUUGAUUUGGCAGAGCUGCUCUGCCCGCUCCCCCGGCUUAAUUUCUUCCCUUUGGAGUUCGUCUCCCUCUUCAUUAUUCUUCCCUAUUUUUUCCAUCUUGAUCCUGCCAUGAAUGAGGAGUAUGAUGUGAUCGUGCUAGACACUAGCCUCGUGGACUCCAUACUUUAGGGAUCUUAUCAGUAAAUGGAAAACAGUUCUAUGUUCUGUGGAUUGAAAUCCCUGCUUUCCCCCCCCCCCCCCAAUCCCAGGUGGUUUGUUUAUACCAAUGAUUUAAAGGCCAGCAUCACCUCAAUGGAAGAGGGGAAAGACUGGUAUGUGGACCUAAUUCCCAAAUUCCCUUUGGCUAAUGGUCAGUUGGUUAAGAUGCUGCUUUAUACAGAAGUCACCCGAUAUUUGGACUUCAAAAAUGACUGAGGGUAACUUUUACAAGAGGGAAAAUAUUCUCAGAUCCUAAUUUUUGAAUUGGAAGCCCCUGCUGGGCCAGCCGGGUAAUACAAGCUCGGUACACUCUGUAUGUUGCCAACUUUAAUGAAAAAGACUCUAGUACUUUUGAGGGUGUUAAUCCUAGGAAGACUCCAGUGUGAGAAGUAGACUAGAAGUUUGAUUUGGGUUAAGAUGUCAUAGAUUUCACUGGUCAUGCAGUUUGCCCUUUACAGGACUAAUGACUAUUUUGAUCAACCAUAUUAUGAAACCAUCAACGGGAUUAAACUCUAGAAUUAGUCUUUGGCAAGAUAAGGCAAAAGCCACUCUGUGGCCUUGGAGGGCUGUCCCAAGGAUUUACAAAGCUAAGUGCCAUUUGUGGAGGUACCUAUAUGCCGAACGAGCCAAUUGAAGUCAUCACAAAAAUUGGACAAAUGGCCGAUAUAUAAAAUCUGAGAUUGCCCAAUGAGAGCGGUAACCUGAGUUAUAUAAAAUAUUGGGUUAAAGUAGUGGCCCAGGGGAUCGGAAUUAUCUGUACCCCAAGUCUGCCACUUGAGUGCCCUAAUGAUGCUAACUCAUGCCAGCUCACACUUCCACAGAACCAGGUAAGUAGGAAAUGCGGUGACAAAUGGUACAAGGAAAUUAUAUAUUUCCAUGGUUGGUACUACUAUACCCAUGAAAGAAAUCAGACCAGCCACCGAGAGCCUGGAAACGGAUAUUUGUUGGCAUCAGCAGUCCCUAUAUUCCAACUGAUUUGGGAACAGAAAGCCAGAUAGCCAUUCCUUAUGUCUCAGAUGUUACAUCUCAAUGUGCAACUACUUGUAAUGACAUUAAAGACAUUUAGAAAAAGA
Sarcophilus harrisii (Tasmanian devil) is the source of this 2991-nucleotide long non-coding RNA. RefSeq lists it as uncharacterized. The transcript is spliced from 5 exons. NCBI's taxonomy places the organism in Eukaryota, Metazoa, Chordata, Mammalia, Dasyuromorphia, Dasyuridae. The record is from RefSeq and is a predicted model, not a curated record.